GAUGAAGAACGUAGCGAAAUGCGAUAAUUAAUGUGAAUUGCAGAAUUUAGUGAAUCAUCGAAUCUUUGAACGCACAUUGCGCCCCUUGGUAUUCCGGGGGGCAUGCCUGUUCGAGCGUCAUUUCAACCCUCAAGCUCUGCUUGGUCUUGGGUCGCGCCGGCGACGGCGGGCCUCAAAAACAGUGGCGGCGCCAUCUGGUUCCUCAGCGUAGUAAUUCUUCUCGCUGUUGGGCCCGGGUGGCCGCUGGCCAGCAACCCCAAAUUUUCUAUGGUUGACCUCGGAUCAGGUAGGGAUACCCGCUGAACUUAAGCAUAUCAAUAAGCGGAGGA
Molecule: unclassified non-coding RNA, 329 nt
Filed under: soil metagenome
Description: partial contains 5.8S ribosomal RNA, internal transcribed spacer 2, and large subunit ribosomal RNA
Rfam family: 5.8S ribosomal RNA (bases 1-120)
Source: RNAcentral